AGAGGUUGAAGAAGAAGGAAGGUAGCCCCAUCACAUGCUGGACCAUCUAGCUAUCAUCCCUUAAUAAGAAACUGUAUACUAGGCUCCUGUGGGAUCUGGUGAGAAAUAGAACUCCAACUUAAUGUGGAAAAUUUAUAGGUGACAGAUUAACCCGGUGGCAGAAGGAACAUGAAGAUCACUAAUAAAGGAGUCUAGAUAAAGAAGAAUCCCCAGAAAGAGCACAGAGGAAAGGGAGGAUGGAAGAAAGAGACGUGUCUAUCUUCACGACAACAGGUUUUCCUGUGCGCUCUUUCCCCACCGGGACUAUCUGCAUUUGAGGGGAAAACACAUGAAAGUUGGAUUCUUUCUCACAACUACUGGAGUGAGCAGGAAGAACUAGGAGGGCUCCGGUGACACUGCUGCACCGAGACCGAAACUCCUGCUGUUCAUCAAAGCCACAGUCCUCCAAAAUCCGCUCAGGGAAACAAACACGGGAGCUGGACAGG
Marmota flaviventris (yellow-bellied marmot) is the source of this 485-nucleotide non-coding RNA. NCBI's taxonomy places the organism in Eukaryota, Metazoa, Chordata, Mammalia, Rodentia, Sciuridae. The record is from RefSeq and is a predicted model, not a curated record.